Molecule: ribosomal RNA, 253 nt
Filed under: uncultured bacterium
Lineage: Bacteria
Description: partial 16S ribosomal RNA
Rfam family: Bacterial small subunit ribosomal RNA
Source: RNAcentral
UACGGAGGGGGCUAGCGUUGUUCGGAAUUACUGGGCGUAAAGCGCACGUAGGCGGCUUUGUAAGUUAGAGGUGAAAGCCCGGGGCUCAACUCCGGAAUUGCCUUUAAGACUGCAUCGCUUGAGUUGUGGAGAGGUAAGUGGAAUUCCCGGUGUAGCGGUGAAAUGCGCAGAUAUCGGGAAGAACACCCGUGGCGAAGGCGGCUCUCUGGAACGCAACUGACGCUGAGACGCGAAAGCGUGGGGAGCAAACAGG